RNAcentral lists this long non-coding RNA (434 nucleotides) under Rosa chinensis. Its description in RNAcentral is "sRNA RchiOBHm_Chr7g0203301". Lineage: Eukaryota; Viridiplantae; Streptophyta; Magnoliopsida; Rosales; Rosaceae. The record is from RNAcentral.
CGCGUCGACUGAGCGAGUGACCACCAUCUCUGUCGACUCGAAGACACCGAGUUCACUACCGUCUUCGCCGAACGAGGAUUGGACGGCAAUUCGUCAGGAGCUAGGCGUUGGGGAUUGGACGGUGGAGUCCAUCCAUGGAGGCUUCACCGUUCCUCAGCGAAUCCGCAACCGACCUGAACGAUCGGUGUGGCUGACCCGAAAUUCCAGCAAUCGGAGUCGGCGUCGGAGCUUCUUCAACCUCCAAGAAAGUCAAGUUAACAAACCGAUCGACGACGUAUAUGAUCACCGACUCGUCGUCCAGAACCGAAUUCGGGUCGACCCGAACGUCGUUGACCUAGACGAAGUCACGGUGAGUGAGUAAUUGGGGAGCAGAGUCUGGAUUUUGGUGCCGCGGUGGAGGUAAGGUAGGGUUUUGACGGAGAGUCGUCGCGACG